Molecule: ribosomal RNA, 711 nt
Filed under: Staphylococcus haemolyticus
Lineage: Bacteria; Bacillati; Bacillota; Bacilli; Caryophanales; Staphylococcaceae
Description: bacterial LSU rRNA
Rfam family: Bacterial large subunit ribosomal RNA
Source: RNAcentral
AAGUGGAGCCGUAGCGAAAGCGAGUCUGAAUAGGGCGUUGAGUAUUUGGUCGUAGACCCGAAACCAGGUGAUCUACCCAUGGUCAGGUUGAAGUUCAGGUAACACUGAAUGGAGGACCGAACCGACUUACGUUGAAAAGUGAGCGGAUGAACUGUGGGUAGCGGAGAAAUUCCAAUCGAACUUGGAGAUAGCUGGUUCUCUCCGAAAUAGCUUUAGGGCUAGCCUCAAGUGAUGAUUAUUGGAGGUAGAGCACUGUUUGGACGAGGGGCCCCUCUCGGGUUACCGAAUUCAGACAAACUCCGAAUGCCAAUUAAUUUAACUUGGGAGUCAGAACAUGGGUGAUAAGGUCCGUGUUCGAAAGGGAAACAGCCCAGACCACCAGCUAAGGUCCCAAAAUAUAUGUUAAGUGGAAAAGGAUGUGGCGUUGCCCAGACAACUAGGAUGUUGGCUUAGAAGCAGCCAUCAUUUAAAGAGUGCGUAAUAGCUCACUAGUCGAGUGACACUGCGCCGAAAAUGUACCGGGGCUAAACAUAUUACCGAAGCUGUGGAUUGUCCGUAGGACAAUGGUAGGAGAGCGUUCUAAGGGCGUUGAAGCAUGAUUGCAAGGACAUGUGGAGCGCUUAGAAGUGAGAAUGCCGGUGUGAGUAGCGAAAGACGGGUGAGAAUCCCGUCCACCGAUUGACUAAGGUUUCCAGAGGAAGGCUCGUCCGC